CAGCAGCCGCCGCGGUAAUACAGAGGGUGCGAGCGUUAAUCGGAUUUACUGGGCGUAAAGCGUGCGUAGGCGGCUUCUUAAGUCGGAUGUGAAAUCCCUGAGCUUAACUUAGGAAUUGCAUUCGAUACUGGGAAGCUAGAGUAUGGGAGAGGAUGGUAGAAUUCCAGGUGUAGCGGUGAAAUGCGUAGAGAUCUGGAGGAAUACCGAUGGCGAAGGCAGCCAUCUGGCCUAAUACUGACGCUGAGGUACGAAAGCAUGGGGAGCAAACAGGAUUAGAUACCCCAGUAGUCCCUGUCUCUUAUAC
RNAcentral lists this ribosomal RNA (304 nucleotides) under uncultured bacterium. RNAcentral's name for it is "partial 16S ribosomal RNA". It matches the Rfam family "Bacterial small subunit ribosomal RNA", at positions 506 to 807 of the family's 1533-position model. The record is from RNAcentral.